Molecule: ribosomal RNA, 389 nt
Filed under: uncultured bacterium
Lineage: Bacteria
Description: bacterial SSU rRNA
Rfam family: Bacterial small subunit ribosomal RNA
Source: RNAcentral
AUUGAACGCUGGCGGAAUGCUUUACACAUGCAAGUCGAGCGGCAGCGCGGGGGCAACCCUGGCGGCGAGCGGCGAACGGGUGAGUAAUACAUCGGAACGUGUCCUUCAAGUGGGGGAUAGCUCGGCGAAAGCCGGAUUAAUACCGCAUAAGCUCUGAGGAGGAAAGCGGGGGACUGGUAACGGCCUCGCGCUGUUGGAGCGGCCGAUGUCGGAUUAGCUAGUUGGUGGGGAAAGGCCCACCAAGGCGACGAUCCGUAGCUGGUCUGAGAGGAUGAUCAGCCACACUGGGACUGAGACACGGCCCAGACUCCUACGGGAGGCAGCAGUGGGGAAUCUUGCGCAAUGGGCGAAAGCCUGACGCAGCGACGCCGCGUGAGGGAUGACGGCCU